AACGAACGCUGGCGGCGUGCCUAACACAUGCAAGUCGUGCGAGAAAGUUCCUUCGGGAGCGAGUAAAGCGGCGCACGGGUGAGUAACACGUAGGUAACCUGCCCCCCAGUCUGGAACAACUAGAGGAAACUCUAGCUAAUGCCGGAUGAGACCACGAUCCCUUCGGGGGUUGCGGCCAAAGAUGGCCUCUACUUGUAAGCUAUCGCUGAGGGAUGGGCCUGCGGGCCAUUAGCUUGUUGGUGAGGUAACGGCUCACCAAGGCUGUGAUGGCUAGCUGGUCUGAGAGGAUGACCAGCCACACUGGGACUGAGACAGGCCCAGACUCCUACGGGA
Molecule: ribosomal RNA, 333 nt
Filed under: uncultured bacterium
Lineage: Bacteria
Description: bacterial SSU rRNA
Rfam family: Bacterial small subunit ribosomal RNA
Source: RNAcentral